RNAcentral lists this ribosomal RNA (487 nucleotides) under uncultured bacterium. RNAcentral describes it as "bacterial SSU rRNA". It matches the Rfam family "Bacterial small subunit ribosomal RNA", at positions 32 to 518 of the family's 1533-position model. The record is from RNAcentral.
AACGCUGGCGGCGUGCUUAACACAUGCAAGUCGAACGGAUUUAGCGUAGCAAUAUGCUAAGUUAGUGGCGAACGGGUGAGUAACACGUGACCAAUCUGCCCCGGACUGGGGAAUAACGGAGGGAAACUUCCGCUAAUACCGCAUAUUGAGCGUGGACUGCAUAGUCCGUGCUUGAAAGCUUCGGCGGUCCGGGAUGAGGUCGCGCCCCAUUAGCUUGUUGGCGGGUAACGGCCCACCAAGGCUGCGAUGGGUAGCUGGUCUGAGAGGACGAUCAGCCACACUGGGACUGAGAUACGGCCCAGACUCCUAUGGGAGGCAGCAGUGAGGAAUAUUGCGCAAUGGACGAAAGUCUGACGCAGCAACGCCGCGUGAGGGAUGAAGGUGCUUUGCAUUGUAAACCUCUGUAGAGAGGGACGAAUCGCCCGGUCAUCCGGGCAUUGACGGUACCUCUAAAGUAAGCACCGGCUAACUCCGUGCCAGCCGCCGC